UGGCUCAGGACGAACGCUGGCGGCGUGCCUAAUACAUGCAAGUCGAACGAAGCUUUCUUUCACCGAAUGCUUGCAUUCACCGAAAGAAGCUUAGUGGCGAACGGGUGAGUAACACGUAGGCAACCUGCCCAAAAGAGGGGGAUAACACUUGGAAACAGGUGCUAAUACCGCAUAACCAUGAACAUCGCAUGAUGUUCAUGUAAAAGACGGCUUUUGCUGUCACUUUUGGAUGGGCCUGCGGCGUAUUAACUUGUUGGUGGGGUAACGGCCUACCAAGGUGAUGAUACGUAGCCGAACUGAGAGGUUGAUCGGCCACAUUGGGACUGAGACACGGCCCAAACUCCUACGGGAGGCAGCAGUAGGGAAUCUUCCACAAUGGACGAAAGUCUGAUGGAGCAACGCCGCGUGAAUGAAGAAGGCCUUCGGGUCGUAAAAUUCUGUUGUCAGAGAAGAACGUGCGUGAGAGUAACUGUUCACGUAUUGACGGUAUCUGACCAGAAAGCCACGGCUAACUACGUGCCAGCAGCCGCGGUAAUACGUAGGUGGCGAGCGUUGUCCGGAUUUAUUGGGCGUAAAGGGAACGCAGGCGGUCUUUUAAGUCUGAUGUGAAAGCCUUCGGCUUAACCGAAGUAGUGCAUUGGAAACUGGAAGACUUGAGUGCAGAAGAGGAGAGUGGAACUCCAUGUGUAGCGGUGAAAUGCGUAGAUAUAUGGAAGAACACCAGUGGCGAAAGCGGCUCUCUGGUCUGUAACUGACGCUGAGGUUCGAAAGCGUGGGUAGCAAACAGGAUUAGAUACCCUGGUAGUCCACGCCGUAAACGAUGAGUGCUAAGUGUUGGAGGGUUUCCGCCCUUCAGUGCUGCAGCUAACGCAUUAAGCACUCCGCCUGGGGAGUACGGUCGCAAGACUGAAACUCAAAGGAAUUGACGGGGGCCCGCACAAGCGGUGGAGCAUGUGGUUUAAUUCGAAGCAACGCGAAGAACCUUACCAGGUCUUGACAUCUUCUGACAAUUCCAGAGAUGGAACGUUCCCUUCGGGGACAGAAU
RNAcentral lists this ribosomal RNA (1045 nucleotides) under human gut metagenome. RNAcentral's name for it is "bacterial SSU rRNA". It matches the Rfam family "Bacterial small subunit ribosomal RNA", at positions 20 to 1032 of the family's 1533-position model. The record is from RNAcentral.